Molecule: ribosomal RNA, 169 nt
Filed under: uncultured bacterium
Lineage: Bacteria
Description: partial 16S ribosomal RNA
Rfam family: Bacterial small subunit ribosomal RNA
Source: RNAcentral
CCUACGGGAGGCAGCAGUGGGGAAUAUUGCACAAUGGGGGAAACCCUGAUGCAGCAACGCCGCGUGGGUGAUGACGGUCUUCGGAUUGUAAAGCUCUGUCUUUGGGGACGAUAAUGACGGUACCCAAGGAGGAAGCCACGGCUAACUACGUGCCAGCAGCCGCGGUAAU